This 777-nucleotide ribosomal RNA is filed under the name uncultured bacterium. RNAcentral's name for it is "bacterial SSU rRNA". It matches the Rfam family "Bacterial small subunit ribosomal RNA", at positions 105 to 896 of the family's 1533-position model. The record is from RNAcentral.
GGUGAGUAACGCGUUGGUGACCUGCCCCGAAGGCGGGGAUAACAGCUCGAAAGGGCUGCUAAUACCCGAUGAUCUCUGCUGGGUUAGAGGCCAGGAGAGGAAAGCAGCGAUGCGCUUUGGGAGGGGCCUGCGUCCCAUCAGCUAGUUGGUAAGGUAAAAGCUUACCAAGGCGAAGACGGGUAGGGGACCUGAGAGGGUGACCCCCCACACUGGCACUGAAACACGGGCCAGACACCUACGGGUGGCAGCAGUAGGGAAUAUUGCACAAUGGGCGAAAGCCCGAUGCAGCAACGCCGCGUGCGCGAUGAAGGCCUUCGGGUCGUAAAGCGCUUUUCGGGGAGAUGAGGAAGGACAGUAUCCCCGGAAUAAGGCUCGGCUAACUACGUGCCAGCAGCCGCGGUAAGACGUAGGAGCCUAGCGUUAUCCGAAUUUACUGGGCGUAAAGCGCGUGCAGGCGGUUCGGUAAGAUGGGUGUGAAAUCUCCUGGCUCAACUAGGAGAGGUCGCUCAAUACUGUCGAACUGGAGGAUGGUAGAGGGAGGUGGAAUUCCCCGGUGUAGUGGUGAAAUGCGUAGAUAUCGGGAGGAAUACCAGUGGCGAAGGCGGCCUCCUGGGCCAUACCUGACGCUCAGACGCGAAAGCUAGGACAGCGAACGGGAUUAGAAACCCCGGUAGUCCUAGCCCGUAGACGAUGUGACUUGGCCGUUUGUGGCGUAAAAUCCAUCAGUGCCGGAAGCUAACGCGUAGUCCAUCGCCUGGGGACUACGGCCGCAGGUUA